GGAAGUACCUAUCUAGCACGAGCUCAGAUGAGCUCUUUAUCCACAUCGCCGGUUCCCAUAAAGAUUCGUGCCAACAACUGUCUGGUUCUCUGUAUAGCGACCCGUAUUUCUCUUUUUCGCUGCGCACUGGCCCACCAUUGUUGGUUCAUGGAUGUCAUGGCCCCCCGCUAGAGCCCUGCCCGCCCAGACGGCAUCUAACGGAAUGGGCCACGGCUCAGCUCCAUCUUUUAGUCCUGGUAGUACUGCGGCAGAUUCCCGUCCCCUCUCACCUGAAAAAAACACGUAUGCAUCAAGGGCAUCUUUGGUCCACCAUUUGACUAAAAGUUAUCUGUUUCAUACGGAUAAAGCCCAGCACCUGCUGAUCGAAAAUUCAUAUUAUCAAAUACUACGAGUUCAGGUGAAGAUGAAAAUUCAUAUGCAUCAAGGAGUACGAACUAAUCAAUUAAUCCCUACACCGUUCAGCAUUGCUCAUUCUACGAGUAUAGCAUCGACCCAACAUAAAAGUCUAAUGGCAUACCACAAAAUGCCAAUGUCAGGCGACCUCCUUGGAGGUCGUUAAAAAUAAUAAUAUCAGAAAACAUAUUUUGAAGUUUCAAAAAAAUCUGAAAAAAAUCAUACAUGUUUACAUUGAUGUAUUCUACAUGUGUGUAAAUUUUAAAGAUGAAAUAUAUUACGGCCAGAGCUACACAAAAAGACAAAUCGUAAUUUUCAAACUGAUGAACAGUGCAAACACUGUUUACUAUUAGAAAUGCAGGAUUUUCUCUUUUUUAUGUAGCUCUCGCCAUAAUGUAUUUCAGUGUCAGAUUUUAUACACAUGUAGAAUACAUCCAUAUGAAUGUGUAGAAUUUUUUUUCACAAAAUUUUGAAACUCCAAAAUGUAAUUUAUCAAAAUUUUCAAUAUAUCCACCUACAUGGAGGUCGCCCGCCAAAAGCCCGCAUCCAAUGGCAUACACCUUUUUUCAACACAUGGCCACAAAGGAGUCCCAUGUGAGCAAACCGUCAACACUCGCAGUCAAACUCUUCACCUCCAUCUCUGCACCACUUC
This 1045-nucleotide long non-coding RNA is filed under the name Triticum aestivum (bread wheat). Its description in RNAcentral is "long non-coding RNA (TAES_LNC026928)". Lineage: Eukaryota; Viridiplantae; Streptophyta; Magnoliopsida; Poales; Poaceae. The record is from RNAcentral.